This 434-nucleotide ribosomal RNA is filed under the name uncultured bacterium. Its description in RNAcentral is "bacterial SSU rRNA". It matches the Rfam family "Bacterial small subunit ribosomal RNA", at positions 958 to 1392 of the family's 1533-position model. The record is from RNAcentral.
AACGCGAAGAACCUUACCAAGUCUUGACAUCCCUCUGACCGAUCCUUAACCGGAUCUUUCCUUCGGGACAGGGGAGACAGGUGGUGCAUGGUUGUCGUCAGCUCGUGUCGUGAGAUGUUGGGUUAAGUCCCGCAACGAGCGCAACCCCUAUCCUCAGUAGCCAGCAGUUAGGCUGGGCACUCUGAGGAGACUGCCAGGGAUAACCUGGAGGAAGGCGGGGAUGACGUCAAAUCAUCAUGCCCCUUAUGAUUUGGGCUACACACGUGCUACAAUGGCGUAAACAAAGGGAAGCAAGCCUGCGAAGGUAAGCAAAUCCCAAAAAUAACGUCCCAGUUCGGACUGCAGUCUGCAACUCGACUGCACGAAGCUGGAAUCGCUAGUAAUCGCGGAUCAGAAUGCCGCGGUGAAUACGUUCCCGGGUCUUGUACACACCG